Molecule: ribosomal RNA, 476 nt
Filed under: Ilyonectria sp.
Lineage: Eukaryota; Fungi; Ascomycota; Sordariomycetes; Hypocreales; Nectriaceae
Description: eukaryotic LSU rRNA
Rfam family: 5.8S ribosomal RNA (bases 109-262)
Source: RNAcentral
CAUACCUAUUUGUUGCCUCGGCGGUGCCUGUUCCGACAGCCCGCCAGAGGACCCCAAACCCUGAUUACAUUUAAGAAGUCUUCUGAGUAAACCGAUUAAAUAAAUCAAAACUUUCAACAACGGAUCUCUUGGUUCUGGCAUCGAUGAAGAACGCAGCGAAAUGCGAUAAGUAAUGUGAAUUGCAGAAUUCAGUGAAUCAUCGAAUCUUUGAACGCACAUUGCGCCCGCUAGUAUUCUGGCGGGCAUGCCUGUCCGAGCGUCAUUUCAACCCUCAAGCCCCCGGGCUUGGUGUUGGGGAUCGGCGAGCCUCCGCGCCCGCCGUCCCCUAAAUCUAGUGGCGGUCUCGCUGUAGCUUCCUCUGCGUAGUAGCACACCUCGCACUGGGAAACAGCGCGGCCACGCCGUUAAACCCCCAACUUCUGAACGUUUGACCUCGGAUCAGGUAGGAAUACCCGCUGAACUUAAGCAUAUCAAUA